GUUUCCGUAGGUGAACCUGCGGAAGGAUCAUUACAGUAUUCUUUUUGCCAGCGCUUAAUUGCGCGGCGAAAAAACCUUACACACAGUGUUUUUUGUUAUUACAAGAACUUUUGCUUUGGUCUGGACUAGAAAUAGUUUGGGCCAGAGGUUUACUGAACUAAACUUCAAUAUUUAUAUUGAAUUGUUAUUUAUUUAAUUGUCAAUUUGUUGAUUAAAUUCAAAAAAUCUUCAAAACUUUCAACAACGGAUCUCUUGGUUCUCGCAUCGAUGAAGAACGCAGCGAAAUGCGAUAAGUAAUAUGAAUUGCAGAUUUUCGUGAAUCAUCGAAUCUUUGAACGCACAUUGCGCCCUCUGGUAUUCCAGAGGGCAUGCCUGUUUGAGCGUCAUUUCUCUCUCAAACCUUCGGGUUUGGUAUUGAGUGAUACUCUUAGUUGAACUAGGCGUUUGCUUGAAAUGUAUUGGCAUGAGUGGUACUGGAUAGUGCUAUAUGACUUUCAAUGUAUUAGGUUUAUCCAACUCGUUGAAUAGUUUAAUGGUAUAUUUCUCGGUAUUCUAGGCUCGGCCUUACAAUAUAACAAACAAGUUUGACCUCAAAUCAGGUAGGAUUACCCGCUGAACUUAAGCAUAUCAAUAA
Molecule: ribosomal RNA, 634 nt
Filed under: uncultured Debaryomyces
Lineage: Eukaryota; Fungi; Ascomycota; Saccharomycetes; Saccharomycetales; Saccharomycetaceae
Description: eukaryotic LSU rRNA
Rfam family: 5.8S ribosomal RNA (bases 233-386)
Source: RNAcentral